UACGUAGGGCGCAAGCGUUGUCCGGAAUUAUUGGGCGUAAAGAGCUCGUAGGCGGCUUGUCACGUCGGUUGUGAAAGCCCGGGGCUUAACCCCGGGUCUGCAGUCGAUACGGGCAGGCUAGAGUGUGGUAGGGGAGAUCGGAAUUCCUGGUGUAGCGGUGAAAUGCGCAGAUAUCAGGAGGAACACCGGUGGCGAAGGCGGAUCUCUGGGCCAUUACUGACGCUGAGGAGCGAAAGCGUGGGGAGCGAACGGG
This 253-nucleotide ribosomal RNA is filed under the name uncultured bacterium. RNAcentral's name for it is "partial 16S ribosomal RNA". It matches the Rfam family "Bacterial small subunit ribosomal RNA", at positions 524 to 776 of the family's 1533-position model. The record is from RNAcentral.